GAUGAACGCUAGCUACAGGCUUAACACAUGCAAGUCGAGGGGCAGCAUUUCAGUUUGCUUGCAAACUGGAGAUGGCGACCGGCGCACGGGUGAGUAACACGUAUCCAACCUGCCGAUAACUCGGGGAUAGCCUUUCGAAAGAAAGAUUAAUACCCGAUGGCAUAAUUAGACCGCAUGGUCUUAUUAUUAAAGAAUUUCGGUUAUCGAUGGGGAUGCGUUCCAUUAGGCAGUUGGUGAGGUAACGGCUCACCAAACCUUCGAUGGAUAGGGGUUCUGAGAGGAAGGUCCCCCACAUUGGAACUGAGACACGGUCCAAACUCCUACGGGAGGCAGCAGUGAGGAAUAUUGGUCAAUGGACGAGAGUCUGAACCAGCCAAGUAGCGUGAAGGAUGACUGCCCUAUGGGUUGUAAACUUCUUUUAUAUGGGAAUAAAGUUUUCCACGUGUGGAAU
Molecule: ribosomal RNA, 451 nt
Filed under: uncultured bacterium
Lineage: Bacteria
Description: bacterial SSU rRNA
Rfam family: Bacterial small subunit ribosomal RNA
Source: RNAcentral